GGAUGGAUGUCUGAGCGGUUGAAAGAGUCGGUCUUGAAAACCGAAGUAUUGAUAGGAAUACCGGGGGUUCGAAUCCCUCUCCAUCC
Molecule: transfer RNA, 86 nt
Filed under: Lolium multiflorum (Italian ryegrass)
Lineage: Eukaryota; Viridiplantae; Streptophyta; Magnoliopsida; Poales; Poaceae
Description: tRNA-Ser
Rfam family: tRNA
About the family: Transfer RNA (tRNA) molecules are approximately 80 nucleotides in length. Their secondary structure includes four short double-helical elements and three loops (D, anti-codon, and T loops). Further hydrogen bonds mediate the characteristic L-shaped molecular structure. tRNAs have two regions of fundamental functional importance: the anti-codon, which is responsible for specific mRNA codon recognition, and the 3' end, to which the tRNAs corresponding amino acid is attached (by aminoacyl-tRNA synthetases). tRNAs cope with the degeneracy of the genetic code in two manners: having more than one tRNA (with a specific anti-codon) for a particular amino acid; and 'wobble' base-pairing, i.e. permitting non-standard base-pairing at the 3rd anti-codon position.
Source: RNAcentral